This 465-nucleotide long non-coding RNA is filed under the name Brassica rapa (field mustard). RNAcentral's name for it is "long non-coding RNA (BRAP_LNC004958)". Lineage: Eukaryota; Viridiplantae; Streptophyta; Magnoliopsida; Brassicales; Brassicaceae. The record is from RNAcentral.
UUUUCUGUAAUCCUUUUAGUGAAAAAAAUCACAGGCGUUUAAGAAUAUCUCACCAGAACAACAGACAUCGCCGCCGAAGAGAUCAGUAGGAGAAACCAAUUUUAUAUUGGAAAGUAAAAAGUCACUAAAGGCAAUCAUUAUAUGGCCUUUGAUUUGUUCUUCAGGUCCACUAAUUUUUGGGUUACAAAUGAUAGUAAUUUUUGUAUCAUAACCAAAAGGCCAAAAUCAAUUCAUAUAAUUAGGCUUUGUUAAUAUAAUUACUACAGAUACAUAUUUUUUUGGAGUUACUUUUCCAAUUAGUUUCAUAGUUUUUAUCGAUUUUUUUUUCUUUUUAAAGCUAUAUAAACAAAAGAAAAAAAAUUAUUUUCCAAUUUUUUCAUAUAAUUACUACAAAUUUCUUUUUUUUUCUUUUUAAUGCUCUAUUUUUUUAUUUUAAUAUAUUUUUAAAUAUAUUUUUUCUUAUUU